CCUGGGAGGUAUCAGAAAUUCAAAUAUGCGAAUUUGUCACCAAUAAAGUGAAUAAUGUGGGGAGAGUGGAGCUAUAUGAUCAACGAGAUUCACUUGGGUUGGAUAUGAUCCGAAUUAUAACGUAUGUCUUGUGGGACGCCUAGAGGGCACACGAUUCAGGUCAUGUGAUUAGCGGAUUUGUUUCCGUAUUUGAUUGCAGUCAGUUUAGUCCACCCUAUAUAUACAUCUUGUAAGCCGCACGGGGAAAAGCAAGACGGCUCAUUGUAUUCCCUGUGUUGUAACUUUCUCAUUAUAGUGAAGAUCGUCGAUUGGCGCCCGUAAUUUUUUCCCGUAAAUGUUUUCGUGUCUCGUGUUCGAUCUUGUUUUCGCAUUAUUUGCUAACAACUUGUGUGGCCGAUGGAUCUUCCAUGGAUGGGACUGCUGCAAGGCGGCAAUACCACCACAGAUCGCAAGUUUGGUGUGGAUAUGGAACUUGGUUGGAGGGAUGCUCUCAAGAAACAAAUCAGAGCAUGCUCCGUAGAAAAGCCAAGCUCCAUUCAUUAAUGCUACUGGAAACUCAAACACGACACCUGAAAAGGCAGAAGGGAAAGCAUUGGCUAAUUAAGCGACAAUGACUCUCGUUCAACAGCUGAAAUUUUACUUGCAUGGAUGACCUUCUGGUCGGUUUGAGCCUUUUGGGUCACUGGCCGUAUAACAUUGUAUGUAUAUAUAAUCCAUGCCCAUGGUAAACUUAAAUUGAGUUGAACUUAUUAACUGUGUGGUAUGUUUUGUUUUCUCUAAGUACUCAAACUGUGCCUUAUCC
This 802-nucleotide long non-coding RNA is filed under the name Setaria viridis. RNAcentral's name for it is "long non-coding RNA (SVIR_LNC008313)". The record is from RNAcentral. Lineage: Eukaryota; Viridiplantae; Streptophyta; Magnoliopsida; Poales; Poaceae.